Molecule: long non-coding RNA, 243 nt
Organism: Hyalella azteca
Lineage: Eukaryota; Metazoa; Arthropoda; Malacostraca; Amphipoda; Hyalellidae
Exons: 3
Source: RefSeq, a predicted model, not a curated record
AGGACAUUUCCUGCCAGUCUGACAACCCACGAGGGUUUGAGCCCCUCGUAUCACUCUGCAAUAAAACCCAACGCAAAAAGUCCACUGUACGAAGGCUGUAGCAUCACAAGAACGUACAAGAGCACGAAGCACCGCACUUCACCUCAUCACUUCUCCCUGGUACUGCGCUCUGGAUUUCCAGAUCACAGCUGUUCACGUCACAACGAGCCAGCGAAGGCCCUACGCUGCAAUUUUUGCGCGGAC